UUAACUCAAAUUAGUAUGGAGUUGGACAGUGUUCCUAAGUUUGUCGCUAGGGGCGCUGUUCCAAUUGCAUACAAAUUUGAGUUA
Molecule: non-coding RNA, 84 nt
Organism: Bombyx mori (domestic silkworm)
Lineage: Eukaryota; Metazoa; Arthropoda; Insecta; Lepidoptera; Bombycidae
Source: Rfam